This is a long non-coding RNA of Photinus pyralis (common eastern firefly), 882 nucleotides long. RefSeq lists it as uncharacterized. NCBI's taxonomy places the organism in Eukaryota, Metazoa, Arthropoda, Insecta, Coleoptera, Lampyridae. The transcript has 4 exons. The record is from RefSeq and is a predicted model, not a curated record.
UAUAACAAUGAACGAUAAUUGUUAAACAAUUACGGGGUUAAAUCGGCGUGAAAUUGUCAUUUCGAGGUGCGGGAGUCGUUUGCGUAAGGGCCCCCUCGUCGCACUUGCCGCGGCACAAAUUUAAAUCGCUCGCACCUCAAAACACCUUCGCGAAUAAGCGCCGCAGUUUGCGCACAAUGAAGCUUAAAAUGAAGGGGUAGCAUGCGAUAAUUGCAAAUAAAAGGCGAAUGGGAAAUUAAGUCCGCCAUCUUUUAAACUGCCAUGAAGUUACUUCCACUUCCAGAAUUCAAAUUCUUUCCAAAAGUUGCGAUCGCCUAAAUUGUUUAAAUGAAUUUUUUUAGUUGAAUUUGUCAAUUUUUACUGCGAAUUUUGAAAUUUUGACGAAUGUUUAUUGCUAAACGUUUACCCACUCGAUUUACAUUUUUCAAAUAAUCGUUAGGGGUAAAUCAAACAUGGCGCAAGUAAACAUUGUACAGGGGUUUUCCAGCGCUUUCUGGACCCCCCUUCUAGAGAAAUGGAAAGCCGUCGAUAUUUUAGUACUUCCUGAAACUGCUUGAACACCUAAAGAGCUGUGGAAAGCACUAUAAGGCAAUCUGAUUUCCAGAAAAGGACCUUGGCUUCACAACUCCUUGCCACAGCCUUUUCAGCGCUGUUUAGACACUUCCCAGAACUAUUUAGACACCGCUAUUACAGGCUGUGUUCAGACUAAUCGAGGGCAUUCUUCACCCAGACAAAGACUAUCUCUAUGACACAGACCAGGGGGCCGAUUCUAACUGAUUUCGACGGUUGAAAUUUCAGUAGUUGCGUCGAAAUUGCGAUCGUAACCAUCUAUCGGUGUUAUCAUGAACUACUAAUAUACGUCAUUGAAACGUCAUAACUUCU